This 750-nucleotide ribosomal RNA is filed under the name uncultured archaeon. Its description in RNAcentral is "bacterial SSU rRNA". It matches the Rfam family "Archaeal small subunit ribosomal RNA", at positions 56 to 783 of the family's 1478-position model. The record is from RNAcentral.
AGUCUGAUCCUACCCUUUGGUAGGAUGGCGAACGGCUGAGUAACGCACGUACAACUUACCCUAAGGAUCUGGAUAACCUCGGGAAACUGAGGAUAAACCAGAAUAGGAGAGAGAUACUGGAAUGUUCUCUCUCCGAAAGUACUAUGGGGAAUAGCCCAUAGUAGCCUUAGGAUAGGUCUGUGUGGGAUUAUGGUAGUUGGUGAGGUAACGGCUCACCAAGCCUAUGAUCCCUAGGGGCCAUGAAAGUGGGAGCCCCCAGAAGGGCACUGAGACAAGGGCCCUAGCCCUACGGGGUGCAGCAGCCGCGAAACCUCUGCAAUGCGCGAAAGCGUGACAGGGGGACUCCGAGUGAUAUGGGUCUUAAGCCUAUAUCUUUUCCCAAGUGUAAAAAGCUUGGGGAAUAAGGGUGUGGGCAAGACCGGUGGCAGCCGCCGCGGUAACACCGGCGCCUCAAGUGGUGCUCACGAUUAUUGGGCUUAAAGCGCCCGUAGCCGGUUUAGUGUGUGCACUGUGAAAUGUUGGAGCUCAACUCCAACACGUGCAGUGUAUACUACUAGACUAGGGAGCGGGGGAGGAGGAGGGUACGUUCAGGCUAGCGGUAAAAUGCGUUGAACCUGAACGGACCACCAGUGGCGAAGGCGCUCCUCCAAAACGCGUCCGACGGUGAGGGGCGAAGGCUAGGGGAGCAAAAGGGAUUAGAUACCCCUGUAGUCCUAGCUGUAAAUGAUGCCCACUGCUCCUUACUGCUGC